GGAAUAUUGGACAAUGGGGGAAACCCUGAUCCAGCAAUGCCGCGUGAGUGAUGAAGGCCCUCGGGUCGUAAAACUCUUUCAGCAGGGAAGAAAAUCUGACGGUACCUGCAGAAGAAGCACCGGCUAACCCCGUGCCAGCAGCCGCGGUAAUACGGAGGGUGCAAGCGUUGUUCGGAAUCAUUGGGCGUAAAGCGCGUGUAGGCGGCCGCUUAAGUCCGGUGUGAAAGCCCGGGGCUUAACUCCGGAAGUGCACUGGAUACUGGGCGGCUAGAGGACGGGAGAGGGAAGCGGAAUUCCUGGUGUAGGGGUGAAAUCCGUAGAUAUCAGGAGGAACAUCGGUGGCGAAGGCGGCUUCCUGGCCCGUUUCUGACGCUGAGACGCGAAAGCGUGGGGAGCAA
Molecule: ribosomal RNA, 398 nt
Filed under: uncultured bacterium
Lineage: Bacteria
Description: bacterial SSU rRNA
Rfam family: Bacterial small subunit ribosomal RNA
Source: RNAcentral